GGUUCUAUAGUGUAGUGGUUAGCACUCUGGACUUUGAAUCCAGCGACUUGACUUUUGAACAA
Molecule: transfer RNA, 62 nt
Filed under: Perkinsus marinus ATCC 50983
Lineage: Eukaryota; Perkinsozoa; Perkinsida; Perkinsidae
Rfam family: tRNA
About the family: Transfer RNA (tRNA) molecules are approximately 80 nucleotides in length. Their secondary structure includes four short double-helical elements and three loops (D, anti-codon, and T loops).
Source: Rfam by way of RNAcentral